UACGUAGGGUGCAAGCGUUGUCCGGAAUUAUUGGGCGUAAAGAGCUCGUAGGCGGUCUGUCGCGUCGGCUGUGAAAACUCGGGGCUCAACUCCGAGCUUGCAGUCGAUACAGGCAGGCUAGAGUUCGGCAGGGGAGACUGGAAUUCCUGGUGUAGCGGUGAAAUGCGCAGAUAUCAGGAGGAACACCGGUGGCGAAGGCGGGUCUCUGGGCCGAUACUGACGCUGAGGAGCGAAAGCGUGGGGAGCGAACAGG
Molecule: ribosomal RNA, 253 nt
Filed under: uncultured bacterium
Lineage: Bacteria
Description: partial 16S ribosomal RNA
Rfam family: Bacterial small subunit ribosomal RNA
Source: RNAcentral